Molecule: small RNA, 167 nt
Filed under: Lactobacillus amylovorus
Lineage: Bacteria; Bacillati; Bacillota; Bacilli; Lactobacillales; Lactobacillaceae
Description: Listeria sRNA rli28
Rfam family: Listeria sRNA rli28
Source: RNAcentral
UAUAAUUUUAUGCGUAAAAAAGUUGAAGCGGCGGCUAUCCCAAAGAGAUGGUGCUUAUGAGGAUUUUUUGACUCUACCACAAUCCUGUUAGAAAGGAGACGCCAUCGUGUCUGUCUCAGAUGCGUUGCAACUAAUGAUCAGUUUCGGCUAAUUUGUCGUUUUACUGA